AUGGAGACUUCUUCUCCUCUCACACGAAUGGCGGACACUCCUUCUACUUCUUCACGGUAUCGUAAACCACCAUGGCAUCAUCUUCUUUGUCAUUCAUCUUUACAAUGGUGCAGCUUUAGCCUUUACCUUGAUAUUGUGUCCUUAUUACAGGAAGCGAUGAAUAUCUUUGAGGAAAACUGUGUGAUUGCGUUGAGGCGUUUGUUAUUGAUGUGCAAUGUUGAACCUUGCGGAUUGGUGAUGAUGAUGAUUACAGAGAAGUGUUACGAUGGAAAUUAUUGA
This is a non-coding RNA of Vicia faba (fava bean), 279 nucleotides long. Lineage: Eukaryota; Viridiplantae; Streptophyta; Magnoliopsida; Fabales; Fabaceae. The record is from the annotation of a GenBank genome assembly.